GGGUAGGUGACUUAGUGGUAGAGCGCUUGCCUUGCAUGCAGGAAGCCCUGGGUUUGAUUCCCCAGUUCCA
RNAcentral lists this transfer RNA (70 nucleotides) under Dipodomys ordii (Ord's kangaroo rat). It matches the Rfam family "tRNA". Rfam says of the family: Transfer RNA (tRNA) molecules are approximately 80 nucleotides in length. Their secondary structure includes four short double-helical elements and three loops (D, anti-codon, and T loops). Lineage: Eukaryota; Metazoa; Chordata; Mammalia; Rodentia; Heteromyidae. The record is from Rfam by way of RNAcentral.